UUUAGAAAUUACAUGAAAGCUCGAUGAUAUGAAAAACUGUCGGUUGAACCAUGUUUGGCUCAAGUGAAGUUACAUGAAAAUGGGGUCAAUGGAUUCCAGUGAUGAACUCCCCUUCAUGAUGCUGGACUGAGCACUGAGACUCAACUUUCAUAUAAAAGAAAAUGCAGAUGAACUGUAGAUGCAUGAGGGAAUAUUAAUACUUAGAAACUGGAUUCCAGCUCUUCUGAAUGAGGCAACUCUGCGUCGAAGGGGGAAAAAAAAAAAAAAAAGAAAGAGAGCAGGGAACACAUCAGUCUGUACAGUAUCUGCUCUGUGCUGCUGAACACAAGCGUUAAUUGGCCCAAUGAUAAUCUUGACUUCAGGCCACUUUGUAGGGUUUGCUGUCAACUCUUCUGUGUCCCAGGCCUGUCCAUCCUCCAAUCACAACCGCGAUAACUGAGACCCUUAAACGUUCCACAGUGAGGGUAAUGUGCAGCUGACGUGUGGAUCUAUUGCCACACUCAUUACUGUCCACGCUUCAUCGCCGUCGUCUCUGGCCUAGAUAAUUCCACUCUACAGCCGUCUGUUUCCCUGUCUUCCAGG
Sphaeramia orbicularis (orbiculate cardinalfish) is the source of this 582-nucleotide long non-coding RNA. RefSeq lists it as uncharacterized. NCBI's taxonomy places the organism in Eukaryota, Metazoa, Chordata, Actinopteri, Kurtiformes, Apogonidae. The transcript is spliced from 3 exons. The record is from RefSeq and is a predicted model, not a curated record.